GGCCCUGCAAAGCAGCAUCGCGGUGGCGGAGCGUCGUUUGCGACGCCCAACACACAAAACAAGCGGUGAGUGCUUUGGGGUGGGGUGACUGCGUACCUUUUGUAUAAUGGGUCAGCGACUUAUAUUCUGUAGCAAGGUUAACCGUAUAGGGGAGCCGAAGGGAAACCGAGUCUUAACUGGGCGUUAAGUUGCAGGGUAUAGACCCGAAACCCGGUGAUCUAGCCAUGGGCAGGUUGAAGGUUGGGUAACACUAACUGGAGGACCGAACCGACUAAUGUUGAAAAAUUAGCGGAUGACUUGUGGCUGGGGGUGAAAGGCCAAUCAAACCGGGAGAUAGCUGGUUCUCCCCGAAAGCUAUUUAGGUAGCGCCUCGUGAACUCAUCUUCGGGGGUAGAGCACUGUUUCGGCUAGGGGGUCAUCCCGACUUACCAACCCGAUGCAAACUGCGAAUACCGAAGAAUGUUAUCACGGGAGACACACGGCGGGUGCUAACGUCCGUCGUGAAGAGGGAAACAACCCAGACCGCCAGCUAAGGUCCCAAAGUCACAGUUAAGUGGGAAACGAUGUGGGAAGGCUCAGACAGCCAGGAUGUUGGCUUAGAAGCAGCCAUCAUUUAAAGAAAGCGUAAUAGCUCACUGGUCGAGUCGGCCUGCGCGGAAGAUGUAACGGGGCUAAACUGUGCACCGAAGCUGCGGCAGCGACGCUUAUGCGUUGUUGGGUAGGGGAGCGUUCUGUAAGCCUGCGAAGGUGUCCUGUGAGGGAUGCUGGAGGUAUCAGAAGUGCGAAUGCUGACAUAAGUAACGAUAA
This 807-nucleotide ribosomal RNA is filed under the name Salmonella enterica subsp. enterica serovar Kentucky. Its description in RNAcentral is "partial 23S ribosomal RNA". It matches the Rfam family "Bacterial large subunit ribosomal RNA", at positions 566 to 1315 of the family's 2925-position model. Lineage: Bacteria; Pseudomonadati; Pseudomonadota; Gammaproteobacteria; Enterobacterales; Enterobacteriaceae. The record is from RNAcentral.